UACGAAGGGGGCUAGCGUUGUUCGGAAUUACUGGGCGUAAAGCGCGCGUAGGCGGCGAUCUUUGUCAGGGGUGAAAUCCCGGAGCUUAACUCCGGAAUUGCCUUUGAAACGGGAUCGCUUGAGUCCGAGAGAGGAUGGCGGAAUUCCUAGUGUAGAGGUGAAAUUCGUAGAUAUUAGGAAGAACACCGGUGGCGAAGGCGGCCAUCUGGCUCGGUACUGACGCUCAGGCGCGAAAGCGUGGGGAGCAAAC
RNAcentral lists this ribosomal RNA (250 nucleotides) under uncultured bacterium. RNAcentral's name for it is "partial 16S ribosomal RNA". It matches the Rfam family "Bacterial small subunit ribosomal RNA", at positions 524 to 773 of the family's 1533-position model. The record is from RNAcentral.